RNAcentral lists this small RNA (149 nucleotides) under Pseudomonas sp. URIL14HWK12:I10. RNAcentral describes it as "PrrF RNA". It matches the Rfam family "PrrF RNA". From Rfam's summary of the family: PrrF RNA is a small RNA involved in iron homeostasis and is found exclusively in Pseudomonas species. Their expression is induced under iron limitation by the ferric uptake regulator (Fur) and they act to negatively regulate several genes including sodB and sdh. The record is from RNAcentral. Lineage: Bacteria; Pseudomonadati; Pseudomonadota; Gammaproteobacteria; Pseudomonadales; Pseudomonadaceae. RNAcentral also lists the same sequence under 3 other names.
UUGACCUGCAAAUGAUAACGAUUAUUAUUGCAUUCAGCUGGUCGCGAGGUCAGCCGAUAACCUGAAAACUCUUGGUCGUGUUUUCAGAUUAUCUCCUCAUCAGGCUAAUCACGGUUAUUGACCCGGCUCUUUGGCCGGGUCUUUUUUUC